UAGAUUGAAGCCAGUUGUUUAGGGUAUUUAGCUGUUAACUAAAUUUUCGUGGGGUUGGAUCCCACCGGUCUAG
RNAcentral lists this transfer RNA (73 nucleotides) under Eospalax rufescens. RNAcentral describes it as "tRNA-Asn". The record is from RNAcentral. Lineage: Eukaryota; Metazoa; Chordata; Mammalia; Rodentia; Spalacidae.